GAACGGGUGAGUAACACGUGGGUGAUCUGCCCUGCACUUUGGGAUAAGCCUGGGAAACUGGGUCUAAUACCAGAUAGGACCAYGGUGUGGUGAUCGUGGUGGAAAGUUUUUUCGGUGUGGGAUGAGCUCGCGGCCUAUCAGCUUGUUGGUGGGGUAAUGGCCUACCAAGGCGUCGACGGGUAGCCGGCCUGAGAGGGUGUACGGCCACAUUGGGACUGAGAUACGGCCCAGACUCCUACGGGAGGCAGCAGUGGGGAAUAUUGCACAAUGGGCGCAAGCCUGAUGCAGCYACGCCGCGUGGGGGAUGACGGCCUUCGGGUUGUAAACUCCUUYCGCCAAAGACGAAUUUUGAACGGUAUUUGGAGAAGAAGCACCSGCUAACUACGUKCCAGCAGCCGCG
RNAcentral lists this ribosomal RNA (400 nucleotides) under Corynebacterium glaucum. RNAcentral describes it as "bacterial SSU rRNA". It matches the Rfam family "Bacterial small subunit ribosomal RNA", at positions 100 to 519 of the family's 1533-position model. Lineage: Bacteria; Bacillati; Actinomycetota; Actinomycetes; Mycobacteriales; Corynebacteriaceae. The record is from RNAcentral.